This 497-nucleotide ribosomal RNA is filed under the name uncultured bacterium. RNAcentral describes it as "partial 16S ribosomal RNA". It matches the Rfam family "Bacterial small subunit ribosomal RNA", at positions 28 to 507 of the family's 1533-position model. The record is from RNAcentral.
GAUGAACGCUGGCGGUGUGCCUAAUACAUGCAAGUCGAGCGAACAGACGAGGAGCUUACUCCUCUGACGUUAGCGGCGGACGGGUGAGUAACACGUGGAUAACCUACCUAUAAGACUGGGAUAACUUCGGGAAACCGGAGCUAAUACCGGAUAACAUGUUGAACCGCAUGGUUCAACAGUGAAAGACGGUCUUGCUGUCACUUAUAGAUGGAUCCGCGUCGCAUUAGCUAGUUGGUAAGGUAACGGCUUACCAAGGCAACGAUGCGUAGCCGACCUGAGAGGGUGAUCGGCCACACUGGAACUGAGACACGGUCCAGACUCCUACGGGAGGCAGCAGUAGGGAAUCUUCCGCAAUGGGCGAAAGCCUGACGGAGCAACGCCGCGUGAGUGAAGAAGGUCUUCGGAUCGUAAAACUCUGUUAUUAGGGAAGAACAAAUGUGUAAGUAACUAUGUACGUCUUGACGGUACCUAAUCAGAAAGCCACGGCUAACUACGUG